RNAcentral lists this ribosomal RNA (523 nucleotides) under Penicillium cf. citrinum UFMGCB8090. RNAcentral's name for it is "eukaryotic LSU rRNA". The stretch from base 158 to 311 matches the Rfam family "5.8S ribosomal RNA". Lineage: Eukaryota; Fungi; Ascomycota; Eurotiomycetes; Eurotiales; Aspergillaceae. The record is from RNAcentral.
CUGCGGAAGGAUCAUUACCGAGUGCGGGCCCCUCGGGGCCCAACCUCCCACCCGUGUUGCCCGAACCUAUGUUGCCUCGGCGGGCCCCGCGCCCGCCGACGGCCCCCCUGAACGCUGUCUGAAGUUGCAGUCUGAGACCUAUAACGAAAUUAGUUAAAACUUUCAACAACGGAUCUCUUGGUUCCGGCAUCGAUGAAGAACGCAGCGAAAUGCGAUAACUAAUGUGAAUUGCAGAAUUCAGUGAAUCAUCGAGUCUUUGAACGCACAUUGCGCCCUCUGGUAUUCCGGAGGGCAUGCCUGUCCGAGCGUCAUUGCUGCCCUCAAGCCCGGCUUGUGUGUUGGGCCCCGUCCCCCCCGCCGGGGGGACGGGCCCGAAAGGCAGCGGCGGCACCGCGUCCGGUCCUCGAGCGUAUGGGGCUUCGUCACCCGCUCUAGUAGGCCCGGCCGGCGCCAGCCGACCCCCAACCUUUAAUUAUCUCAGGUUGACCUCGGAUCAGGUAGGGAUACCCGCUGAACUUAAGCA